GUCCUCAUUGCAUGAGAUAAGCAGAGCACACAGAAUUAGUCCCUGCUUAUGAAAAGAGAAACACAUUCGGAGAGGAUGACUGGUUGGGCCAAGGUCAAAUGGCAGAGAGCUGGCACAGGUUAGCCCCAAGGGCAGGAUUCUCUGCAUUGCCAAUCGCCUUGCCCCUGGGCCGGCUGAAGUUUCCUGAACCCCAGAAGAAGGACACCUGAUGUGGCACCAAAUAACUACUUUCUGCUUCCCAUUUCCUGCUUCCCACUGCCUGUUUCCCACUUCCUGCUUCCUGCCUCCCAUUUCCUGCUUCCUGUUUUAGUUUUGGCCCAAAGUCUAAAGCAGCAAGAGUGAUGGACUCCUGGCACCUCUGCCUCAGAGUAGAUGGGAAACUCAGCAGAGGCUUGGACAGAAGUUGGACAGGUUCACAGAAAAUGAGCUCUGCAGAGCUGGAAAUCUUUACCCAGAGGGAGGGGAAAAUAGAGGCUAAAGGAAGGUUAGUAAGGGGAGCUCCAGGUUCUGUGAUGACAACAAAGUGAGGGAGCCCAUGGGGGAAAGCCAGCAAGGAAGCAGCCAGCUCACAGGACAGAACUCAAGGAAACAGUGGACUCUAGUUCUAGGCCACAGCAGAGGGAGCCCAGCUGCCUAGCCCAGCUUGGGGACACAUGUGCCAAAGCCUGGAAGCAGCAGCAAUGGACCACAAGUGAUCCUGACCCCCAUCCAGGGGCCACUCAGGAAUAGGCUGGGAGGUUUUUUGAGGACUGCUCCAACCCAGGGUGAGAUUUCAGAGGGACCUGAGGCUGGGCUCUGAGCAGCACCCACACCCUCACGCCACUGCCCAGGAGAUAGGUUGUUCAGUCUGCUAAUGCCUGUUUAAAGAGGCCAAGGCCUUCAACUCCACAAAUGAGAUUGUUUGCCUAAAAUAUGGAAGGAAGGAAGGAAGGAAGGAAGGAAGGAAGGAAGGAAGGAAGGAAGGAAGGAAGGAAGGAAGGAAGGAAGGAAGGAAGGAAGGAAAUGGAAGGAAGAAGGAGAAGAACCUGUAAGAUUUUCCCCCUUAGUUAGAGCUCCAUGCUCAAUAUGAAUAGAGUUGGGGUAUUCAGUGUGACCAUCAGCCCCUUCUCACCGAGCCUCAGGAAAACAAGGACCUGGUAAGAGCCAUCUCUCCUCCCGGAGUCUAGGAUCCUCUUGCCCCUUAGGACCACAGUGUUUGUUCUGCUACGGAUCCCAUCCCUGGCUGCCUCUAAGCCUCUCUCAGGGCUCCUCUCUCCCCAUGCAAUGGCCUGUUGGAGCCCCUGAUCAGUGAGCCAGCUUGGGGGCCCCAGGAAUGAGAACUGUAGAGGCUCCAGGAAAAUGCAUCGUCUUCAUUUCUGGAUAUAGAGUCCUAGGCCUAGUACCCUUGACCCCAAUUUUUCCAUCUGACCAUAAACCAUUGAUGGCACUCUCUUCUUAUUUGGAUAAGUGGAGGAGACCAGGGAUGAGGAGGGCUGGCAGGGGAAAAGAGGGCCUCGCUAAGGAGAUGAAGGGCAGAGCGACAAGAAAAAAGACAUGCUCUUUAGGUGAACACCAAAUGGGCACAGAGUUCUGGCCUACACUAUGUGCUUAGCCAGUAUUCUGACCCUCUUCACAGAAAGGACAAGCCAGUGUGUCAUCGGCUUGAUGAGACACUGUGUACAAGUAGCUGGGAGAUUUUCAUUCACUGUGAGCAUGAUAAGCCAAUGUGUGAAGCAGGACUAUGUCCAAACCCAGUUCCAGUCUACACUCUUGAAGGUGCUCAUCAGCAAACUGAAGAGGUCCAAGGAGACACAACCACCAUGGUCAGAGGACUCAGGGUGUGUCACCCAGGAAAGAACAAGGGUGUAUACCCGGAAAAAGGCAAUACUUAAAAGGUUCUAGAAACCUACAAGCUUCUGACAAAGAGGAAGAACACAGUCACUCAGCUCCCCAAAACGGGCAAAGAAAUUAGACCAAGAGCAUAGGGAAGCAAAUACUAGCUAAAAGCAAAGGGAUUUGUGCAACAGACGUCUGACAACUACUAUAUAGCAGGAAAAAAGCAUGGUGUUUGGACUCAUUCCUCCUCUGCCAUGUACUCGUGGUGAGGCCUUGAGCAAGGUAGCUAGUUUCUGUAAGCCUCGGUUUUAUUGUCUCCAAAUUGAGAGACAUAACAAUGUCUUCAAAGUUUGCUGUGAAGGUUAAAAUUAAAUAGUACAUAUAAAACAGCACAGACAGUAAAGUACCCCAAAACAUUAGCUCUGAUCAUUUUAGCAUCCUGGAGUGCUUACGACAUAGUCAUCUAUUAUGUAAAGGGGUGCUGUUAUGAGUCAAGUUGCGUCUCCUUGAAAAGGCAUGUUGGAGCCUCCACUAUCUCAGGGUAGGACUUUAUUUGGAGACAGGGUCUUUACAGAAGUAAUCCAGUUAAACUAAGGUCAUAAGGGUGGGCCCCAAUCCAAUAAAACUUAUUGGACAUGGACACACAUUAAUGGAAGAUGGGCAUGCAGAGACGCAGGGAGAAGAUGGCCUUUGACCUGCCAAGAAGAGCAGCCUGGAGUAGACUCUCCCUUCCAGCCACAGAAGGGACCGACCCUGCUGACAGCUUAAUCUUGGACUUCUUGUCUCCAAAACUGGGAGACAAUAAAUUUCCAUGGUUUAA
Canis lupus familiaris (dog) is the source of this 2635-nucleotide long non-coding RNA. RefSeq lists it as uncharacterized. The record is from RefSeq and is a predicted model, not a curated record. The transcript is spliced from 2 exons. NCBI's taxonomy places the organism in Eukaryota, Metazoa, Chordata, Mammalia, Carnivora, Canidae.